Molecule: ribosomal RNA, 119 nt
Filed under: Mesocricetus auratus (golden hamster)
Lineage: Eukaryota; Metazoa; Chordata; Mammalia; Rodentia; Cricetidae
Source: RNAcentral
GUCCACGGCCAUACUACCCUGAACACGCCUGAUCUCGUCUGAUUUCAGAAGCUAAGCAGGGUCACGUCUGGUUAGUACUUGGAUGGGAGACUGCCAUAGUUUCACCUUUACCUCUGAAA